Long non-coding RNA from Ictalurus punctatus (channel catfish), 1318 nucleotides. NCBI's taxonomy places the organism in Eukaryota, Metazoa, Chordata, Actinopteri, Siluriformes, Ictaluridae. The record is from Ensembl.
GCUGUGUGUUUGUGUGAAAAUGGAAAAAGAAGGAAAUUCCUUCCACGUUUGUAAAAGCUACAAUUUGGCCUGACUAGGGAGCUGAUUAGUGCAGUCCUCUCCUGACGUGUGUGAAUGUGUGUGUAAAGCGAGAAAACCCCGAUUCCAAAUGACACAGAGAAUGGAGAAGGAACCUGAGUAAAUGGAACUGGAUCAAAAAUUUUGACUUUUCACCAACCUUCUAUCUUUUGAAAGUUUUUUUUUUUUUUUUGGGGGGGGGUAGACAAAAUGAGACCAGCAAAAACACACAGUAUGCCAAAAGUGCUUAGAAACCUGCGGAUAGGUGUGUUCCUGGCAGGUGAAGUUUCAUCACUGGAGCCUUCUUUAUUUCCACCUCGUCAUAUUUAUUACCACUCUGUCACAUUUAAAGUACAUUGAAGCAGCUCUUCAAGCUGAGAAACGCUGCAGAACCGGGUUUGUUUUGACAUACCCAGACACAACGUCUGCUAAUCUAACACCUCUGACUCACUGGGACAGCUGGAGUCAACGUGAAAUAAAAGAUGGACGUAAUCGUAGUCAAAGGGCAUUUAAAAGGGAUUGGACAGCUGGAAGGGUAUUUUUGGGGGGUGGAGAUUUGUCAUCCUAGUCUGAUUAGGUUAUUUAAGAGGAUAUAUUUUUAGGAGGAAUUGUUCCAAAUGCACUGGUUAUUUCUGAAGGGCAGUAUGAAAUGAUAUUCACAUCUUUCUAUCCUAUCUCUCUCUUGCUAAUCAAUAUCUAAAGAUAUGAAUGGCACACAAAUUGGAAUAACAGCCACCGUAAUACAAAGUACCAUGAACCUAAUUUGUUUUAUUUUUUUUGGAUGUAUGUAAAUGCAUAUGUAUAUACACAAUGAGAAAAUGGACAAUUUUGUAAACUGGGAGUCCUUUUUAUUAAAAGAGCAGUAUAUAUACAGUAUAUGUGUAAAAUAUGGAAAGUAUUUUUCUUAUUCUUGUACUUUUGUAUGUAUAUUGGAAUCCAGGAGAAGACGUUUCUAUUUCUUUCGCGUGUGUGGAAACAAAUGGAAAUCUGAAGAAAUCUAUGAUUUUAUUAUAAUCAGAUGGGUGGAGGUGUAUCAUACUGUGAAUGCAAAUAUGCGAAUUUUAAAUUGUUCUAUGGAAAUAAAAGUAUUCGAAACAAUGCACGUUUACUGUAUUAUUUAGGGUUUGUUUUUUUAAAUGGCUGUUUAAAUGAACCUACAUAAUUUCAGUCACAAUCCCCAAGAUUUGUCUAGAAAUCGAUAAAUAAUACAACUUUGCUCAUUCUACAAAGUAGUGAAAAGCAUUUUCACACUAAAUCCCAA